Frieseomelitta varia is the source of this 809-nucleotide long non-coding RNA. RefSeq lists it as uncharacterized. NCBI's taxonomy places the organism in Eukaryota, Metazoa, Arthropoda, Insecta, Hymenoptera, Apidae. The record is from RefSeq and is a predicted model, not a curated record. The transcript has 4 exons.
CUCACGUUGACAUCUCGGCUGUGAACUGAACCUGCCGGGGAACGUGCCAGACAGCUGUAAACCUGAGCGUGAACCUCUUGACGAUAAUCCUCGGCGCGGAAAGGAGGGAAGACCAAGUUCCCAUUUGGAAAGUACCUGUCUGAGUCCAGGAACGUCUCCAACAGCGCUUCCGUCAGCACGAACCCAGAUGAUAUCCGGUUGGGGGUUUCCUCUGGCCUGGCAUUCGACGACAGCUCCAGUUCCAUUAGAGAAGUCAACUCGGUUUGGUGGUUCCUUGACAAAUACUGGUCCCAUGGAUUCGUCCUCAGCGCAAGCCACUAUGGAAACAAAAAGAAACUGAUUGUAGGAUAAAAUUUCACUAUAGAAGUUUCUACUUUACAUAUAUCGUCUACUCUAACAAGAGAAUACAUCAACGAUUUCGACCGUCCAUCAGUUUCUUCUGGCAGUGCCAUUCGCGAUGCAACGAAGGAGAUUCCAAUUAAUCGAAACUGUCACCGGCAAAAGGAACUUUUGUUGCGUGUCUUUCAGACUCGCUUACCAACGGCUCCACCAGGAUACACGACACCCACGUUCAAUUGGCGCGUCGCCAAUUGCAGCAAACAACAGAGAUGCCAAUUUCAUUCGCGAGCAUCGAGGGCAAUCACUAUCGAUCGUAAAAGAUCGAUAUGUAGUGCCUCGACAAAAUUCGAUGUGAACAUAGGUGGCAAUAUUCGAUUACAAAUUUUCCCGCGAAAGUAUUCUAACACAAUAAGUGUUCUAGCAAUAAGAGCAUAGUGAGCAGGUUUAAAUCGUGGUAUAAUUAUUCAGCU